This 1239-nucleotide long non-coding RNA is filed under the name Mus musculus (house mouse). Its description in RNAcentral is "long non-coding RNA chr15:82879388-82880627". The record is from RNAcentral. Lineage: Eukaryota; Metazoa; Chordata; Mammalia; Rodentia; Muridae.
UCAAAAGUGGUCAAGAGGUCCAGUUGCAUGUCUGACCCUACCCCAACGCUGCACUAUGACAGGAAAGCUCCAAAAAGCUGCUUCCUAGGAUUAAGAGUAGGUUUAGAAUCAUCCAGUCAGUUCACAAUAGCACAAAACCUCUAACCUGGAUCCAAGUAAUCCUGGUUUGCUGGUGCCCUAAGGUACCUAAAAAUACAUCAAGAUUGCUCAGCCUCUAAUCACUUAAUAAAUAGUGCUCCAAAGUCCAUCUCUAACUCACAAACAUGAGCAGACAAAAUACUGUCAGAAGCAUGAAGAGCUAGGAUUCAGAGGAAGUCCAGAUACUAGAAUUAGGAAACUAUAACAUAACUAUAUUAACUAUGUUUGUAAACAGGACCUCAUUAUGUAGCCCAAACUGAUCUCAAAUUCACAAUCAAGUUUCAUUCUCCUGAGUGUGGGAGGCAAUGAGUGCAUCUUUACCACCACACCUGACUUACACUUAAUAUGAUCUUGGUAAUGAACGCCGCACUGGAAAACUUGAGGAAACAGAAAUCCAUAAAAAAAGAAAAAGAAAAAACUGAAAAAUAAAAAAGCUAUCAAGUGUGUUCUUUAUCUCAAUUAAAAACAAAUUAAAGAGCCAAGUGUGGUGGCUCACACCUUUAGUCCCAACGCUCAGGAGAUAAAGGCAGGCAGAUCUCUGAGUCCAAGGCCAGCUUGGUCUACAAAAUGAGUUCCCAGGUAGCCAGAGCUACAGGAGAAAACAAAAAAGCAGAGUAAAGAAUUAGUUACAGAAAGAUUGGUCAAAAUAAACUACCAAAAUUACAAGCUAGAAAAGGUGAUAGAAUACAAUAAAUCCAAGACAGAAAAUGCUGCAAAGCAGUAUGUAAAAAGAACAAAUAAAAGACCCCAAGCCACAGAUUCAAGAUGGUGAAUACAUGGAGUGAAUACAUGUAUGUACAAGGAUGAGCAGAUGAAGAGCCUAGAUUAAAACAUUUAAAGGCAUGUUAAAGUCUAUCAAUCCCACCACCUAUGCACUAUCUAGCAAAAUAACAGUAACAAAAUGUUAGGGAGUCAAUGUCUUACAUUUUUAUUAUGUUUUAUGUGUAUAGAUGUUUGGUCUGCAUCCAUGUCUAUGCACCACAUGCACUCAGUCAGUGUCUUCAAGAGGCCAGAUGACGGCAUGAGAUCCCCUGGAGCUGGAGUUCUAGUCACUUGUAAGCUGCCAGGUGAAUGCUGGGAACUGGAGCCCUAGUCCUCUGG